RNAcentral lists this long non-coding RNA (262 nucleotides) under Medicago truncatula (barrel medic). RNAcentral describes it as "long non-coding RNA (MTRU_LNC006001)". Lineage: Eukaryota; Viridiplantae; Streptophyta; Magnoliopsida; Fabales; Fabaceae. The record is from RNAcentral.
AAUUUUUAAAUGAUCCCUAAUUGCAAGGACGAAACACAUAUUAAAGCCUUUAGUUUUUAAGGAUUUCAAAACUAAAAUAGUCCCGCAUAGGAACAUGCAUGAAAAAUGGAGGAUAUGAUCAUCUAUAAUAAGAGAAACAUAUGACACAAGAAGACAAAACUUAAUUUGGUGGUUGCAUACCGGUGUUAAUUACUAUGCGUAAUAAUAGUCUCGUCCAAUCCAUUAAAAAUUGGUAUAAAUUCCAAUAUAUUUUAUGGGUAAC